RNAcentral lists this long non-coding RNA (214 nucleotides) under Gossypium barbadense (sea-island cotton). RNAcentral's name for it is "long non-coding RNA (GBAR_LNC007070)". Lineage: Eukaryota; Viridiplantae; Streptophyta; Magnoliopsida; Malvales; Malvaceae. The record is from RNAcentral.
AUUCUUGAUUAUUUCUUAAAAUUUUUGUGUUUUUGUGACUUUUACAACUAGGUCCACUUGUUGAAUUCAUUAGUUUUUGAUUCUAUGAAAGAAAUUGAAAGUUUCUAUGAAUAUGUGCUGGAAGUAUAUGAUGAUUUGGCAUGGAAUUAGAGCUUUAAAUUGUUUAUAUGCUGAUUUUAUUGAAAGAAUUGAAUAAAAAGUGAAUGUUUGGGAC